This 84-nucleotide transfer RNA is filed under the name Rhodospirillaceae bacterium. RNAcentral's name for it is "tRNA-Leu". It matches the Rfam family "tRNA". Rfam says of the family: Transfer RNA (tRNA) molecules are approximately 80 nucleotides in length. The record is from RNAcentral. RNAcentral also lists the same sequence under 2 other names. Lineage: Bacteria; Pseudomonadati; Pseudomonadota; Alphaproteobacteria; Rhodospirillales; Rhodospirillaceae.
GCGGGCGUGGCGGAAUUGGUAGACGCGCUGGAUUCAAAAUCCAGUUCCUCUGGAGUGUCGGUUCGAGUCCGACCGCCCGUACCA